UACGUAGGUGGCAAGCGUUGUCCGGAUUUACUGGGCGUAAAGGGCGUGCAGGCGGUUUGUUAAGUCUAGGGUGAAAGCUCCCGGCUCAACUGGGAGAGGUCCUUGGAUACUGGCGAACUUGAGGGAUGCAGAGGAAAGUGGAAUUCCCGGUGUAGUGGUGAUAUGCGUAGAUAUCGGGAGGAACACCGGUGGCGAAGGCGGUUCUCUGGGCAUGUCCUGACGCUGAGGAGCGAAAGUGUGGGGAGCGAACAGG
Molecule: ribosomal RNA, 253 nt
Filed under: uncultured bacterium
Lineage: Bacteria
Description: partial 16S ribosomal RNA
Rfam family: Bacterial small subunit ribosomal RNA
Source: RNAcentral